This 497-nucleotide ribosomal RNA is filed under the name uncultured bacterium. RNAcentral describes it as "partial 16S ribosomal RNA". It matches the Rfam family "Bacterial small subunit ribosomal RNA", at positions 28 to 507 of the family's 1533-position model. The record is from RNAcentral.
GAUGAACGCUGGCGGCGUGCCUAAUACAUGCAAGUCGAGCGAACGGACGAGAAGCUUGCUUCUCUGAUGUUAGCGGCGGACGGGUGAGUAACACGUGGAUAACCUACCUAUAAGACUGGGAUAACUUCGGGAAACCGGAUCUAAUACCGGAUGAUAUUUUGAACCGCAUGGUUCAAAAGUGAAAGACGGUCUUGCUGUCACUUAUAGAUGGAUCCGCGCUGCAUUAGCUAGUUGGUACGGUAACGGCUUACCAAGGCAACGAUGCAUAGCCGACCUGAGAGGGUGAUAGGCCACACGGGAACUGAGACACGGUCCAGACUCCUACGGGAGGCAGCAGUAGGGAAUCUUCCGCAAUGGGCGAGAGCCUGACGGAGCAACGCCGCGUGAGUGGUGAAGGUCUUCGGAUCGUAAAACUCUGUUAUGAGGGAAGAACAUAUGUGUAAGUAACUGUGCACAGCUUGACGGUACCUAAUCAGAAAGCCACGGCUAACUACGUG